Molecule: non-coding RNA, 4647 nt
Organism: Monodelphis domestica (gray short-tailed opossum)
Lineage: Eukaryota; Metazoa; Chordata; Mammalia; Didelphimorphia; Didelphidae
Source: RefSeq, a predicted model, not a curated record
GGCACACUGGGAGAUGCAGUUCCCCCAGCUACACAAAGCUCAGUAUUUAAUUUUUGUUUCUUUAUUAUGAGUACCCACCAUAGCUUUGCACAUAGUAGGUACUUAAUAAAUUUAUAUUGAACUGAACCAAUACCUUCCAUUUAGAACCAUUCUCCAAGUACUUUGUAAAAUGUAAUUCUUUUGUAUUAUUUUUUGAGCAUUCUGGAGUGAGUGGAGUAGGAGGCUUAUCUUAACCUGGAGUCCGUGGACAAAGUCUGUGGUUAAGCUUCAGAGGGUCAAUCAAUGAGCUUGGCUGGAGAAAGGUGAUACCUCUCUUUUCACUAACCAUUUGCAGAAAGCUAGUAUUUCUUUUAAUUAUGAACGAAGCAACAAAUCUGAUUCAGAGAAGCUUCAUCAGACUUCCAAAAGUGAUACGGGACACACAUGAGGUUAAAUACCCCGGAUGAGACGGUAACUACGGAUUUGCCAUUUUUCUAAGCUUGAGGUCUGACUCCAUUUUCCAUUUUUGUUAUAAAAAACACAUUAACAAGAAGUUUCAGAAGUGUGUGCCGAGUACCACUGAGAGAAGUCAUUUCAUCUACACCUUUCUACGGUGCUAGAAGAGGAUUCAUCUAGCCUAGAAGGAGGACAGAGGCCACUCCUUCCAUUGCCUUCAUCUCCAACUCUUCUCAGAGGUAUCUCCUGGUAACAUCGACAAUGCUUACACAAAAGGCACCUGUUAUGGGUCAGCCAUUGUGCUAGGUACUGGAGAUACAAUGAAAUGCAUGAAAUGAUCCCCGAGGCAAGAAACUUCUAAAGGAGAAGAGAAAAUGUAUACAUGUAAAUUUUAAAAAGGAAGCAUUUACACAUCUACAAAAUAAGCACAAGGUAAUUCUGGGAACAGAAGGCAGGAGCAUGAAAGGGAAUAAGGAAAAAUCUCAUAUUGGAGAUGCUACCUGAUCUAGGUUAAAGGAGCCUCAGAUGGUGCGGAUUUCAAUAAGUUCCACAGUAAUCAUCAGGACUCUGUUUUUACAAUUUAUUAGGUCUACAAAUGUCUUGUGGAAUUCUUUGCUAAGCUUUUCUGCACCUUUCAUUGGGAUGCCAUGUGCAGAACAUCAAAGGGUUAUUUUUUUGCUCAGUACCAUUCAUUGCCUACACCCUGAGCUAUCUGCCAUUACAGAUCCCACCUGUUGGAUCAUCUCCAUUGGAGUUUAGUGUUGGAAGAUCUACCUGAUUCACCUUCAAGCUCAGAAAAAAUUGGGAAUAGUUAAUAGGAAAAAAGUCAGUCAAACUAAGAGGGACAAGGAAAAGCUUCCUGUAAAAAAGUAAGAUUUUAGCUGGAACUUGAAGAAAAACAGGAAAGCCAAGAAGCAGAGAUGAAAAGGGAGAGAAUCCCAGGCAUGGAGGACAGCCAGAGAAAAUGCCUACAGUCCGGAGAUGGAAUAUCUUUUAUGAAGAACAGAAAGUAGGUCAGUGUCACUGAUCACAGAGUUCAAAGGAGGGAAUACAGUAUUAGUAGAAUUGAAAGGUAGGAGAGAGAGUACUAAUAUGAAGGAUUUUGAAUGUCAAAUACGAUUUUGUAUUUAAUCUUGAAGGUGAUAGGGAGCCAUUGUAACUUAUUGAGUAGGGGGGUUACCUGAUCAGACUUGCCUUUUAGGAAGAUUAUUUUGACAGCUGAAUGGAGGAUGUACUAGAAUGGAGAGAGAUUUUUGGCAGAGUGACCAGCCAGAAAACUUUCAAUAGUCCAAAUAUGAGAUGAUGAAGACUGGCACGAGGGUGGUGGAAGGGUAAAGUGAGAGAAGGGAACAUAAUAGGGAUAUAUUAGUUGGCAACAAAUUGUGUAUGAUGGAUAAGACAGUGAGGAGUAAAGGAUGACACCCAGACUACAAAUCUGGGUGACAAGGAAGGAUAUUGAUACCUUCCUAAACAAUAGGGAAGUUAGAAAGAAGGCAGUGUUUUAGUGGGAGAUUAUUUCAAUUCUGGACAUGUUGAGUUUAAGAUGUCAAUAGAAUAUCUAGUUUGAGAUACCUUAUAAACAGUUGAAGAUGGGAGACUGGAAAUCGAUAGAGAUAUCAGGGCUAGAUAAGUAUAUUUGAGAAUCAAUAAUUGAAAACAUGGCUAUUGAUCAGAUCACCAAGUGAAUAGAUUAGAGGGAGAAGAGAAGAGGACACAGGACAAAAUACUAUGGAACCCUGCUGUUAGUGGCCAUAACCGGCAUGAAGAUCCAGCAAUGGAAACAGAAGGAUUGGCCCAGUAGGUAAUAGGAGAACCAUUGGGGAGAAGUGUUAUGAAAAUCUAGAGAGAAGAGAAUAUCAAGGGGAGAGCAGUGUCAAAGGCUAGAGAGAAAUCAAGAAGGUUGAGGAUUGAGAAAAAACCAUUAAAUCUUGCAAUAAUUCCUUGCUUCCUCACUCUCUCUCUCUUCCUCCCAAUAUUCAACAUGUUGUCAAUUCCUAUACCUAUCAUCUUCAUAAUAUCACUGUUAUAUAUCCCCUUUGCCCCUCUGACACUGCCACCACCUUGAUGAAGGCCUUCAUUUUAUGGCUGCCCUUUGUAGGGUUAGUAUUAGGAGAGAGUAGGGGACAUGGAUGAGAACUGUUACAAAGGUAUAAACAAUGGGGCCUGCUAUGUUUUAUGUUGCUCAAAAUAUUUCUGUGAUGUUAAACAAUAGUAAUUAAUUAAUCCAGUUGAAUCACUUCUUCUUGGUAGUUCAUUGUGAAGAUUAAAUUUAAUUCUCCCCUGAUUAUGAAAAUGAAAUUAAUUAACUCUCCCCUGAUGGUGAAGAUUAAAUUGUAACUCCUGCCUAUUUUUAAAAUACUCUACUUAAAAGUUGAGUAGGAACAUCUGCCCAUAUUUAGAUUUAAUCACCAAAGGUGUAAACACCCCAUUCACACUUGAGUGGGGGAGGUCUGUGACCCACAUGUGUGAUAGUGGGUGACAAAUCAGAAUUGACUGACUGACUCCUGGGCAGUCCUAAAGUAGGGCUUCAACUGUGAUUGGUAGAUGUAGAAUUAGGAAGGCACAGGAAGUGAUGUAAGAGAAAGUAUCUUUAAAUGGGAGUAACAACUUCCUGAGUACAGUUCUGGCAGUUCUUCAUUCUUUGAAGUGGAGGCUGGUGAAGAAUGUGCUGACUGGACCUCAGACCCUGUUUCCUGGUGAGGCAGUUCUAAGAUCUCUUCCUUUGAACUGACACGUGGUGAGUGAAAAAGCUCACUCUUAAUUGCUGGAUGUUUCUGAAGAGACUACCCUAGGUCCUAGGCUUUUGUUGAGGCCUAAGGACUAACUCUCCCUGCUUGGGACUAUGAAUAAAUUACUUAGUGCUUAAGCUAGUUAUCUUACCCUAUCCUCUCUCUGAUUUUCUUCACUCUUUCAACAAUUUGCAAAUAAAUUGUAAAUAAAUCUCUUUGGAAUUAAUAUAAAUUCCUGGUGACCACACUCUUAAAUAAUCCAGCCCAACCCUUUUAAAGUUAACCCCUUUUGUCUCUUAUAUCCUUGAGUCUUUGAUCACUUCCAUCCAGAUUUAAGUGGAGCAUUAUAAGAAAAAGCAUAAUAUGGAUGCUUCCUGGUCUGUAGUUCAUUUAUUCUACAACUUUUAGUCUUUCCUAGGAGGUCUAUCUCAAAGUAUGGAAAUGUAUUUCUUCCUAAUUUUUUUUUUUUACCAAGGUGAAUUUCUGUCACUGUAUCUGAAAUCAUGAUUAGAGUAGCGCUAUCUGUCAUACUCAGCCAUGAGGCCAUUCUUACCAGCUGGACAACAAAAGCAGACUGCUGAACAUAGGCUCUUUUUAUCUUUUUAUCUCCUUUCUCCCUUAGAGCUGAACCCUGAUCACUCUCACCUCCCUCAUUCCCAGGCAUCAUGCUCUCAGAUGGGAAGGCUGAUGGUCCAAAUUCCACUACCUUGACUAUAUUCUCCCCAUCCCAACUGGCUCUCCUCCCCCUUGCACUUCCAUUGAGCAGAGAGCCAUCAAUUACAACCCCUCCAGUAAGAUCUCAAACCAUCAGUUCUUCUCUGGUGACUUGCAGACCCUUGGGCAUUGACUUGUGAACUGAAGUUGUAUCCUGAGGUCUUCUAAGUCUUAUUAUUUAUCUUGCAAACUGAAUCUUAAGUAAUGCCAGGCCCUGAAUUUCCACUCUAUGAAUUGUCUCUCCCAAUUAGAAUCUUGAGAUCAGGGACAGUCUCAAAUUUCUAUUUCUAUUUGCUACUUUGUAUGAAGUAAUGCUUUUUUUAUUCAUUCCUUCAUUUUGAAUUUUGGUUCCUGGCACUGUAUUGUUAAUGUAGUUAACACUUUGUAAAUGCUUUUUGGGUUGGAUUUUUAUUCAAUAGUUAAGUACUUCCAUAAUUUUGGGGUAAGCUUUUGUGUCAAGCAUAAUUUUUUUAAACCCUUACCUUCUGUCAGUUCUAAGACAGAAGAAUGGUAAGAGCUAAGCAAUUGGGGUUAAGUUCCUUGUCCAGGGUCAUACUGCUAGGGAGUAUCUGAGGUCAGAUUUGAACCCUGGACCUUCCAUUUCCAGACCUGGCACUCUUUCCACUGAGCCACCUAGCUACCCCUGUGUCUGUCAUUCUCAGUCGUUUUUGAAGCCUGUUCAUUUUUUUUAAUAGAUCCUUGAACUUUCUUGAUGAUUUGUGAAAUUCUUUGUGUGACCAAGGGAGUCGUAUACAGGAAUUUUGCACCA